GACGAACGCUGGCGGCGUGCUUAACACAUGCAAGUCGAACGGAAAGGCCCUGCUUUUGUGGGGUGCUCGAGUGGCGAACGGGUGAGUAACACGUGAGUAACCUGCCCUUGACUUUGGGAUAACUUCAGGAAACUGGGGCUAAUACCGGAUAGGAGCUCCUGCUGCAUGGUGGGGGUUGGAAAGUUUCGGCGGUUGGGGAUGGACUCGCGGCUUAUCAGCUUGUUGGUGGGGUAGUGGCUUACCAAGGCUUUGACGGGUAGCCGGCCUGGGAGGGUGACCGGCCACAUUGGGACUGAGAUACGGCCCAGACUCCUACGGGAGGCAGCAGUGGGGAAUAUUGGACAAUGGGCGGAAGCCUGAUGGAGCAAAGCCGCGGGCGGGAUGACGGCCUUCGGGUUGGAAACCGCUUUCGCCUGUGACGAAGCGGGAGUGGCGGUAAUGGGUAAAGAAGCACCGGCUAACUACGUGC
This 469-nucleotide ribosomal RNA is filed under the name uncultured bacterium. Its description in RNAcentral is "partial 16S ribosomal RNA". It matches the Rfam family "Bacterial small subunit ribosomal RNA", at positions 28 to 508 of the family's 1533-position model. The record is from RNAcentral.